GGCUCCGUGAGGACACACGGCUCCGUGAGGACACACGGCUGCCCAGUCUCCAGCCGCUAAUCCUCGCCCCCGAGGGGACUCACUGGGUGAAAUAUCUGGCAAAUACACACCUAAACGCCCCCAAGCUGAUCUCCAAUACACGGCCACGGGACCCAGGGCGAAGCCCGUGGGGAGGUGAGCGCCGGUCCCUGUCUCUGUCCCGCUUUGCCGGAGGCGCCUGAGGCCCCUCAGCGCCCGCCCUCAGGGCAGAGCGGGGCCGCGCGGCCGCCGGGGGGCAGCGCUGCGCCGCCUGAGGCGCCGAGGCCGCGGAGGCGCCGAAAGCCGGCACUUUUCACCCAGAACGGGAGCAGCGAGGGGCAGCAGAACGCAGCGAGGGGUGGCUCCGGUCACACCCCAGCCGUGGCAUUUGGAAGGGAUGCCACGAAGGCCCGGGAGCAUUUGCCGUUGCUUUGUCUCUGCUCGCUGAGGCGAGGAAAGUCUCCUACGAGGGGAGCAGCUGUGACGCACGUCGGGAUUUAUGUUCGGCGGGGAAUAUCCGUGGGGAAACACAAGUUGUAAAUGUCCAAUUCUUCGGUUUAGUAACUGGACUAUUGACUGGGUUGGUUGUCCUCAGCAGGAGGGGACUUGUGUGCAAGUGCAGAGAUGUGCAGGAGAGCAUUUGACCUGCCUCAGUAGAUAUUUACUUGCUAGCUGUUGGAAUGUAGGGGAAAACCUGGGAGGAAAGAUGAAAAUCUUUUAGGAUUGUGCCA
RNAcentral lists this long non-coding RNA (749 nucleotides) under Cyanistes caeruleus (blue tit). RNAcentral describes it as "lncRNA (ENSCCEG00000012050.1)". The record is from RNAcentral. Lineage: Eukaryota; Metazoa; Chordata; Aves; Passeriformes; Paridae.